CAGUCGCCGCGGGAAUACGUAGGGUGCGAGCGUUAAUCGGAAUUACUGGGCGUAAAGCGUGCGUAGGCGGUGAGUUAAGUCUGCUGUGAAAUCCCCGGGCUCAACCUGGGAAUGGCAGUGGAUACUGGCUCGCUAGAGUGUGUCAGAGGAUGGUGGAAUUCCCGGUGUAGCGGUGAAAUGCGUAGGGAUCGGGAGGAACAUCAGUGGCGAAGGCGGCCAUCUGGGACAACACUGACGCUGAGGCACGAAAGCGUGGGGAGCAAACAGGAUUAGAUACCCCGGUAGUCCCUGUCUCUUAUAC
RNAcentral lists this ribosomal RNA (301 nucleotides) under uncultured bacterium. RNAcentral describes it as "partial 16S ribosomal RNA". It matches the Rfam family "Bacterial small subunit ribosomal RNA", at positions 509 to 807 of the family's 1533-position model. The record is from RNAcentral.